Molecule: ribosomal RNA, 183 nt
Filed under: Triticum aestivum (bread wheat)
Lineage: Eukaryota; Viridiplantae; Streptophyta; Magnoliopsida; Poales; Poaceae
Description: partial small subunit ribosomal RNA
Source: RNAcentral
CGCAAGGGCAUCGGAACACUCACAGCUCUCGUUUCAUGGUCUAUUUGGAGACACUGGAACGCUUGCGUUUUUUAUGGCGUCACACCUUCUCAUACCCACCUGGUUAACUGCAUACAGGAGGAAGCUCGUACUUGGGCGAAAGCGGGUACUCGAGGGCUUAGUAACAUCUUACCUGUAACAUAA